AAGAGCCAUCUUUUCCACUUUGGUCUCACCCAACUCCAUGGCCAAGGAAUCCCAAGAAGAUUGGAGGAUACGCUCAACAUCACCCUAGAGUAGCUUAUGGCAAAAACUUGAAGACUAAUCAGCUCACAAGAGUAAACAGCUCUGAAGAAGAAAAGCCCUCAGUUAGGAGAAGAGAGAGAGUGGCAAGGGGAACAUUCCGGAAGCCAGGCUCUCCAGUGCUGGCCAAACCACUGAUUUGUUUUUUAAAUUGAUUUUGCUUCUCUUGCGUUAGAUUACUUGUGUGUGAAAAUGACUUUGGGAAAUA
Odocoileus virginianus texanus is the source of this 304-nucleotide non-coding RNA. NCBI's taxonomy places the organism in Eukaryota, Metazoa, Chordata, Mammalia, Artiodactyla, Cervidae. The record is from RefSeq and is a predicted model, not a curated record.